AUUUAUAUAGUUUAAUUAAAACAUUACAUUUUCAUUGUAAAAAUAAAAAAAAAUUACUUUUUAUAAAUA
RNAcentral lists this transfer RNA (69 nucleotides) under Fabriciana nerippe. RNAcentral describes it as "tRNA-Glu". The record is from RNAcentral. Lineage: Eukaryota; Metazoa; Arthropoda; Insecta; Lepidoptera; Nymphalidae.